This 266-nucleotide unclassified non-coding RNA is filed under the name uncultured fungus. RNAcentral's name for it is "sequence contains ITS1". The record is from RNAcentral. Lineage: Eukaryota; Fungi.
GGAAAAAUGGUAGAGAGCAUGAAGAAGGUUCGUGUUCGAUUGACAAUGGAUAAUGGUCUGGAAGAUGUAUUGGCACAAAAGAAUUUUGGAAGAGUAUCUUUGCGCAGAUUAAGAAUACAACGAAUAAGCCAGGAAGCCCUAGAGCAGAAUGGGAUAUUGAGCCAGGAAGAUCUAAGCAAAUAUUUACAUUGUAAUAUAAGGACAAUAAAGCGUGAUAUACGUUUUAUUAAGGAAUCCGGAAUUGAAGUACUAACCCGGGGAGUAUU